Molecule: long non-coding RNA, 2593 nt
Filed under: Capsella grandiflora
Lineage: Eukaryota; Viridiplantae; Streptophyta; Magnoliopsida; Brassicales; Brassicaceae
Description: long non-coding RNA (CGRA_LNC000063)
Source: RNAcentral
GAUAGAUUCCCUAAUAAAAAAAGGAGGACACGAUUGAGAGAAAUAAAUAAAUGGGGUCAAACGUGGAAAUAGUGUAUAAAUCCAAACCCAUAGCGUAAAAUAUUCCUGGUGGGUUGAUGUGUCUGAGCCUCUGUGAAGCCACUAAACGAGUCAGGUCUCUUUGGGUAAAGCGAGUCCGUCACGAACGUCUUCGUCUCCAGCGAUUCUUCUUCACGUAUAUAUAAAUCUUUCCGAUUUGUCUUUUUGCUUUUCGUUUUCCGUUUAUAUCAUCGGGAAAUUUCCCCGGAUACUUCUCCGAUUCGUUUUAAAGCCUUUUUCUACAGGAACCUUUUACUCCCCAUCUGUGAUUUUGGGUAGAUUUGGCUCCGUAUGGUUAGGGUUUGAAGGAGGUGAUUGUGGUUUCGCUCGUUGUUUUAUUUCACUGUACGUUAAGAAAAUUGGCUCCAGUUGAUUUUUUCCUAGGGUUUCUUCCUUGAGUUCUACAAAUGUCAGAAGGUUCGAGACGGAGUCGGGUCACUAUUACUCUAGGGCGUAGCGGUCAGGUACGUUUGAGGUUUUUUUUUUGUUCAUCUCAGAGUUUGUGUGUAAGUUAGGUGGAAGGAAUGUGAUAAAACUCCCAUUGAUGUAAUCUGUGAGAGGAAAAGUUUGUAAAGGAGUUUUUGAUAUGGUGCUUUCAUGAUGUUAUCUGGAUUAUGAGAAGGAUUUUGAGAUUUGGAAAUGAAAUGUAGAACUGUUAUAGGGAUGGUUGGUUAUAUGAAUGAUAUAUGCAAAUGUGUUGGUGUAUGAUUAAUGGGUUGAGUCUAGAAAACUGCUUAUUUUGUUGAUAUUUUCUUUUGCAGGUGGUGAAUCGAGCUGCAAGUGAUUUAGAUGCUGGUUAUGAGUUGCCUAGAGUUGGGACCAAGCGGUCUGUCAAAGAAAGAUUAGGAAAUCAGGUAGAUAGUUCUCUGUAUGGAAGCGAAGAAGUGGUCAGUAAAAGGUGCUUACUUUUUCUUCUUAUGUGUACUGCUGCAUAUUGAAUGUCAGGAUCUUCUUUAUUUGUUCUCUUGCUCUUACUCUUUUGAAAUUUAGGACCUUUUAUUUGUUCACGGGGUUGUGAAUUAUUGAGUAUUCAGAACUCUGGAGGAACUGAUGGGUUAUGCUUUUUGCUUCAGUUUUCAUGUUUUAAAUUUUCUUGCUUGUUGCUGCAAGGCAUUCACUAGAUUAAAGUUUUUGCUCUUUCUUUGUUUAUGCAGGCAAAGAGGGGAAGCAAGUUUCUGUGGAAAUGGUAUAGAUGUGUGAAUUACUGGAUACACACUAGCAUGUUUGCUGAAUUCUGACCCACCCCUCUUUGUUACUAAGAUUUGCAGAUCAGUCAAAAUGAUCUCCGAUUCAAACUGAUGCAGAAAAAUGCCCAGAAACGAGCUCAGAGCGAUGAAGGUAGCACUAUGGAUCUUCGUGAAAAGCUCUCCAGGAGCGAGCAGCCUCCACGUAGCCUUGAUACUCGACCUCGUAUGGCUGAGCUGAGAGAUGUCCCUUUACCUUCAUCAAGAACUGCUCGUGGUUCCUCUCAGAUGAUUUCAUCAAGUAGUUCAUAUCCUCCAUGGUCCCUGGAAGAUUUAAGACGAAGGUCUCCAGAGAGAUUUAUGGAUACUUCCAGGGGUCCAUCCCCGCCAAGAAAUGCUGGACGUACCAUUGGCAUUCCAAGGGGUCCAUCCCCCCCAAGAAAUGCUGGAAGAUUUAUUGGCACUCCAAGGGAUCUAUCACCGCCAAGAAAUACUAGAAGGAUCAUCGCCUCACCAAGGGAUCUAUCACCGCACAGAAAUGCUGGAAGGAUAAUUGGCACUCCAAGGGAUAGAUCACCUCCAAGAAAUGCUGGAAGGAUAAUUGGCACUCCAAGGGAUAGAUCACCGCCAAGAAAUGCUGGAAGGAUAAUUGGCUCUCCAAGGGAUAGAUCACCUCCAAGAAAUUCCGGAAGGAUAAUUGGCACUCCAAGGGAUAGAUCACCUCCAAGAAAUGCUGGAAGGAGAUUUGAGUCUCCAAGGGAUCUAUCACCGCCAAGGAGCACAAGAAGCUUCAGUAGUGGUUCUAGGGCUCUGUCUCCCACUAGAAAUGUAGGAAGCUACAUGGGUUCUUCUCUGGGGUUUUCACCUCCUAGGAAUCCUGGAAGCUACAUGGGUUCUUCUAGGGGUUCUCCACGUAGUAACAUUGAAGAUUUUCAUGGACGAAGCAGGAUGCUUGAUGAUGUGAGAGCGACACCAUAUACUGUUAGAGGUGUACUAAAUGGUCAAGCCCCAGCAAGUGGUGCUCCUUUCGCCAGGCCAAUGUUACCGCCUCCAGUCCCAAACCCACAUCCGUUGCCUCCUUUGAGCCAGCUUCCUCCACUUGGAAGUAUGAUGCAGAACAAUCCCUUCUCUGUAAGAUCUUUUAUCUACAUCUCAAUUUGUGGAUGAAUUUUCUCUCUUCUUGCUCUUUCUAAACUUUGGGUGAGUCCUUCAUAUGUACCUUGUGUCAUUCGUAGGCCAAAAACCUUUGUGGUCAGAUAGUCCAAACUUUUAUGCCUUGUUCAUAUACAUGUUGUAAUAUGUCAUGUAUAUCUGCUUGGUGUUACAUUAGG